GGCGGACGGGUUAGUAACGCGUGGGAACGUACCCUUCUCUACGGAACAGCCUUUGGAAACGAAGAGUAAUACCGUAUACGCCCUUUGGGGGAAAGAUUUAUCGGAGAAGGAUCGGCCCGCGUUAGAUUAGAUAGUUGGUGGGGUAACGGCCUACCAAGUCUACGAUCUAUAGCUGGUUUUAGAGGAUGAUCAGCAACACUGGGACUGAGACACGGCCCAGACUCCUACGGGAGGCAGCAGUGGGGAAUCUUAGACAAUGGGCGCAAGCCUGAUCUAGCCAUGCCGCGUGAGUGAUGAAGGCCUUAGGGUCGUAAAGCUCUUUCGCCUGUGAUGAUAAUGACAGUAGCAGGUAAAGAAACCCCGGCUAACUCCGUGCCAGCAGCCGCGGUAAUACGGAGGGGGUUAGCGUUGUUCGGAAUUACUGGGCGUAAAGCGCAC
RNAcentral lists this ribosomal RNA (438 nucleotides) under uncultured Leisingera sp. RNAcentral's name for it is "bacterial SSU rRNA". It matches the Rfam family "Bacterial small subunit ribosomal RNA", at positions 97 to 570 of the family's 1533-position model. The record is from RNAcentral. Lineage: Bacteria; Pseudomonadati; Pseudomonadota; Alphaproteobacteria; Rhodobacterales; Roseobacteraceae.